UACAGAGGUCUCAAGCGUUGUUCGGAUUCAUUGGGCGUAAAGGGUGCGUAGGUGGCGCCAUAAGUCAGGUGUGAAAUCUCGGGGCUUAACUCCGAAACUGCAUUUGAUACUGUGGUGCUUGAGGACUGGAGAGGAGACUGGAAUUCACGGUGUAGCAGUGAAAUGCGUAGAUAUCGUGAGGAAGACCAGUGGCGAAGGCGGGUCUCUGGACCAUAUCUGACGCUGAGGUGCGAAAGCUAGGGUAGCAAACGGG
This 253-nucleotide ribosomal RNA is filed under the name uncultured bacterium. RNAcentral's name for it is "partial 16S ribosomal RNA". It matches the Rfam family "Bacterial small subunit ribosomal RNA", at positions 524 to 776 of the family's 1533-position model. The record is from RNAcentral.